UUCGGUCUUAGCGGCGGNACGGGUGAGUACGCGUGGGAACGUGCCCUUCACUGCGGAAUAGCCCAGGGAAACUUGGAUUAGUACCGCAUACGCCCUUCGGGGGAAAGAAUUUCGGUGAGGGAUCGGCCCGCGUCUGAUUAGGUAGUUGGUGGGGUAACGGCCUACCAAGCCGACGAUCAGUAGCUGGUUUGAGAGGAUGAUCAGCCACACUGGGACUGAGACACGGCCCAGACUCCUACGGGAGGCAGCAGUGGGGAAUCUUAGACAAUGGGGGAAACCCUGAUCUAGCCAUGCCGCGUGAGUGACGAAGGCCCUAGGGUCGUAAAGCUCUUUCGCCAGGGAUGAUAAUGACAGUACCUGGUAAAGAAACCCCGGCUAACUCCGUGCCAGCAGCCGCGGUAAUACGGAGGGGGUUAGCGUUGUUCGGAAUUACUGGGCGUAAAGCGCGCGUAGGCGGACUGUUAAGUCGGGGGUGAAAUCCCGGGGCUCAAACCCGGAACUGCCUUCGAUACUGGCAGUCUAGAGUUCUGGAGAGGUGAGUGGAAUUCCGAGUGUA
Molecule: ribosomal RNA, 556 nt
Filed under: uncultured organism
Description: bacterial SSU rRNA
Rfam family: Bacterial small subunit ribosomal RNA
Source: RNAcentral